UCCUGCCAGUAGUCAUAUGCUUGUCUCAAAGAUUAAGCCAUGCAUGUCUCAGUUCAGGCCUUAAUACGGUGAAACCGCGAAUGGCUCAUUAAAUCAGCUAUGGUUUAUUGGAUCGCACUCGUUAAAUGGAUAACUGUAAUAACUCUAGAGCUAAUACAUGCCUCGAUGCUCUGACCCUGUUUGCUUCGCUUGCAGGGGAUGGGUGCACUUAUUAGAUCAGAAGCCAACCAACUGUGCGUAUGCGGCUGCAAGGUCGCGGCGCGCGUUGAGGCACUUCUGGUGACUCUGGAUAAUUGUUACAGAUCGCAGUCGGCCUUGAGUCGGCGACGGGUCCUUCAAAUGUCUGCCCUAUCAACUUUCGAUGGUAGGUGACCUGCCUACCAUGGUGAUAACGGGUAACGGGGAAUCAGGGUUCGAUUCCGGAGAGGGAGCCUGAGAAACGGCUACCACUUCCAAGGGAGGCAGCAGGCGCGCAAAUUACCCACUCCCAGCACGGGGAGGUGGUGACGAAGAAUACCGAUGCGGGACUCCCUAAAGAGGCUCCGUAAUCGGAAUGAGUGGACUCUAAAUCCUUUCACGAGGAUCAAUUGGAGGGCAAGUCUGGUGCCAGCAGCCGCGGUAACUCCAGCUCCAAUAGCGUAUAUUAAAGUUGCUGCAGUUAAAAAGCUCGUAGUUGGAUCUCGGUAGCAUUGUUGCCUGUUGGUAUUUGAGCGGCCGGUGUGUGGUUGACGAUGUGCGGUCGUGGCGUCUGUAUGUUGGUGGGUCGGUUGGUAGAUCAGUUGGUGAGUCUAUCGGUUAGUCGGUGCGUUGGCGGUCGAUGUAGUCGGUGGGUUGAUGUGCCUGCCCGCGUGCGGCUGGCUAUUAGUGGGUGUGCGAGGCGUCGACGGCGGCCGCUGUUGCCGUUUGCUGUCUUGCUCGCUCACUUACUCGCCGGUUCAGUUACGCGCUGGCUCACUCACUCGCCGGUUUGCUCGUUCGCUCACUCGUAUGCUGGCUGGUCGGCUAGUCAGCUGGUCUGUCUACCAGCUCACUUAUUCACCUGCAGCGCCGGGGUCGUGUCGUCGUGGCCAUUAUUGAGCACUGUCGUGUCAAGCCGGCAAGGCGAUGGUGUCACCUUUAAGCCAUGUCUGUGGUGUAACAACCGCAGGUGUGGGCGGGUGUUGGGCAGUGCUUUGCACACGUUGUGGAGCCUGUCGGCUCGUCCGCAUGCCUCUGGAUGCCCUUCAAAAGGUGUCUGUGGGCGGAUGGCACGUUUACUUUGAACAAAUUUGAGUGCUCAAAUCAGGCCGAUGUUGCCUGAAAAGUUUUGCAUGGAAUAAUGGAAUAGGACUUCGGUUCUAUUUCGUUGGUUUUCGGAUCCGAAGUAAUGAUCAAAAGAGACAGGCGGGGACGUUUGUAUGGCUGCGCUAGAGGUGAAAUUCAUGGACCGUAGCCAGACAAACUAAAGCGAAAGCAUUCGUCAAGCAUGUUUUCAUUGGCCAUGAGCGAAAGUCAGAGGCUCGAAGACGAUCAGAUACCGUCCUAGUUCUGACCAUAAACGAUGCCAACUGACGAUCCGUGGUGGUAGUGCUGUUACCUUCCCCACGGGCAGUCCCCGGGAAACCUUUAAGUGUUUGGGUUCCGGGGGAAGUAUGGUUGCAAAGCUGAAACUUAAAGGAAUUGACGGAAGGGCACCACCAGGAGUGGAGCCUGCGGCUUAAUUUGACUCAACACGGGAAAACUCACCCGGGCCGGACACUAUGAGGAUUGACAGAUUGAGAGCUCUUUCUUGAUUUGGUGGUUGGUGGUGCAUGGCCGUUCUUAGUUGGUGGAGCGAUUUGUCUGGUUAAUUCCGAUAACGAACGAGACUCCAGCCUGCUAAUUAGUGCGUUUGUCCACUGCAUCUGUGUAGGUGACGUUGGACGAGGCUGCUACCAUGGGCGGAUGGCUUCUUGCUUCUCCAUCUUGCUUUUCCUGCUCUUCUUGCUCUUGCUCUUCCUCUUCUACUGCCCUCGCACAUAGCUGCAAUUGGCUGUUGUGUAGUCAGUUGUUGGCUGGCCUGGGAGGGUGGCCGGAGGAGAUUGGAGGGUAGUUGAGCGGAGUGGAGGGAAGUGGAGGGGCAGAGAUUGACGCCUGUGGUCGGUUGGUCGGUCUGGCGUUGGCCCCCGGGUGCGGCGCGAAUGCCUACUUCUUAGAGGGACAAGCGGGAGAAGCCGCACGAAAUAGAGCAAUAACAGGUCUGUGAUGCCCUUAGAUGUCCGGGGCCGCACGCGCGCUACAAUGACGGUGUCAACGAGUUAGACCUUCUGGCCCGAAAGGGUUGGGCAAACUGGUCAAUCACCGUCAUGACAGGGAUCGGGGCUUGGAAUUGUUCCCCGUGAACGAGGAAUUCCUAGUAAGUGCAAGUCAUAAGCUUGCGCUGAUUACGUCCCUGCCCUUUGUACACACCGCCCGUCGCUACUACCGAUUGAAUGGUUUAGUAAGGUCCUUGGAUUGGCGUCAUUGUGGUGGUCGCCGAGAGGUGGUUGCCCGACAGGCGCUGAGAAGACGACCGAACUUGAUCAUUUAGAGGAAGUAAAAGUCGUAACAAG
This 2570-nucleotide ribosomal RNA is filed under the name Cladotaenia sp. Eagle AJ-2014. RNAcentral's name for it is "SSU rRNA". It matches the Rfam family "Eukaryotic small subunit ribosomal RNA". The record is from RNAcentral. Lineage: Eukaryota; Metazoa; Platyhelminthes; Cestoda; Cyclophyllidea; Paruterinidae.